This 497-nucleotide ribosomal RNA is filed under the name uncultured bacterium. Its description in RNAcentral is "partial 16S ribosomal RNA". It matches the Rfam family "Bacterial small subunit ribosomal RNA", at positions 28 to 507 of the family's 1533-position model. The record is from RNAcentral.
GACGAACGCUGGCGGCGUGCCUAAUACAUGCAAGUAGAACGCUGAAGCUUGGUGAUUGCACCGAGCGGAUGAGUUGCGAACGGGUGAGUAACGCGUACGUAACCUUCCUGGUAGCGGGGGAUAACUAUUGGAAACGAUAGCUAAUACCGCAUAAUAGUAGAUGUUGCAUGACAUUUGCUUAAAAGGUGCAAUUGCAUCACUACCAGAUCGAUCUGCGUUGUAUUAGCUAGGUGGUGAGGUAACGGCUCACCAAGGCAACGGUACAUAGCCGACCUGGGUGGGAGAACCGGCACAACUGGACUGGGAAAACGGUCCGGCUCCUUACGGAGGGCGGAGGAGGGGAAUUUUGGCAAUUGGGGGAAGUCCUACUGCACACCUCCCGGUUAGUGAAGAAGGGUUUCGGAUUGGAAAGGUCUGUUGUAAGAGAAGGAAGAGUAUGAGAGUAGAAAGUUCACGUUGUGACGGUACCUAAAGAGAAAGCGACGGCUAACUACGUG